Long non-coding RNA from Rhododendron vialii, 2202 nucleotides. RefSeq lists it as uncharacterized. The record is from RefSeq and is a predicted model, not a curated record. The transcript has 3 exons. Lineage: Eukaryota; Viridiplantae; Streptophyta; Magnoliopsida; Ericales; Ericaceae.
UCCCUAGCAAACCACCCUGAAUAACAAGUGCUCGACUAUGAAUUAUGUACUGAUUAAAAAAGUACUAGAGGUUACCAAUAGCAUCUUCACAAGUACUGUAAACCAAUCAGACAAUAAACAGAAUGGAAUGGACACAAGAGUGCCACAAAAUCUUAACAUUGGCAUGGACACAACAGCCUAGCUAUUAUAAUGAUUUUCUCGUACUUCCUGUCCAGAUUGGGAGUCAUUCUCAUUCAAAAUAACAAUGCAUCUACACUAAUGAAUUUUUGUGAUAAAUGGUGUUGCUUAACAAAGUCACAGGUUUGGAUUCAAUGGUCUGACAAAUGGCUAUCAUGGUAGAUUUUACAACGGAUUGAGAAUGUUCUUUACACGUCACUACGAGAAAAACGGGAACUAACGGCAUUCUGGAAAUGGCGUUAACAACAACGCCAUUAGAUGUUUGACUUAUUGGUGUUGCAAAAGCUUCAGGAAUCUCUUUCGUCUGGAAGAUGUAGAUGCAAUUGAAACUCAGACCAAAGCUUUUACUUCUCGUUCAUCAGGAAAGUUUGAAGUGCUACAGGUUUAGAGCUUCACAGUCGACCAUUUCCUGGAGAGCUACUUCCUCCAGCCACAGGCUUCUAGGGCUAUCUUGUUACGAGUCCCUGCAAGAUAAGGCCAAAAAGCUUUUGUGGUAUUCAAUGCAUAUGCUUCCUUACCGACAGUGUCGAGACUUUGUGCCAAAGGGAUGACCCCAGUGGUUGAUACAACACCAUGAGAAGGCCGAAACCCUAAAAUCCCACAGUACGAUGCCGGAACUCUUACACUUCCUCCAGUAUCGGUGCCUGUGACAAAGGAAACCUUUUGAUCCAACUUAUGAAGCAUAAGUAGAAAAACAACAAGCUUAUAAUAAAGGCACAACUCACCCAAGGAGAAAUCUACCAGCAUUCCAGCAACUGCAACGGCUGAUCCACUUGAAGAUCCUCCAGGUAACCGAUCUGGUGAACAGAUAUUUUUUGGCGUCCCAUAAUGCUUGUUUUCUCCAUUUAUACUGCCCCAAAACAUGUAUUUCAGUUAGAGUUUUACAAUCAGAAGAGAACUCUAAAGAUCCUUGUGUCAAAAACUUAUUUAAGAAGAUGCUGAAGACAAGAUAUCUUUAACCAACUUUGAAACUUGGCUAAUGAAGUGUCUUGGGUGAUGAGGAAAUUGCUGAAUCUGAGAGGUUUAUGCCAGGGCUGGAUCAAGUAUAUUAUUGGAAAUGGAGAGGAUGCUUUCCUUUGGACUGAUAAUUGGCAUCCUUUGGGAGCCUUAUACCAGACUUUUGGAGAAGAUGUGGUGGUUAAUAGGGGGAAUGCUUUAAAGGCUUUAUACUAUGGUUCAAGGCUGUUGGAAGUGGCCAAGACAAAUGAGUAGAACAAUUCUCCAGAUCAUGCUUCACACUCCUGCAGGUUUUCUCCCGAAUCCUACUCUAUGUGAUAGGGUUGUGUGGACCUUAUCUGCUGAUGGGCUUUUCUCUGAGAAGACAGCUUGGGAGGCUUGUAGACAUAGAAACCCUUUUCAACCCUGGCAUGGCAUUAGCUGGUUUACUCAAGGGGUUCCUAGAUGGAGUUUUAUUGCAUGGCUUGCUGUUUGGGGUAGACUAGCAACUAAAGAUAGAUUGGGGAGCUGGGGUUUGGCUAUUACUCCACAGUGUGUGCUCUGUGGGGAUGCGGUUGAGUCCCUUGCCCAUCUCUUUUUUGAAUGUUCUUUUGCCUCUGAAGUGUAGAAACAAGUUUUGGUAAGGAAUGGCCUGGUUCGGAAUGUUUUGCCUUUGUCUCAAGAGCUUGAUUGGGCUGUGCAGAAUAGAAGUGCGAAAGGUUUGAGAAAUGCAGUUUACAAACUCUCUCUAGUUGCUAUCAUCUAUAGCUUUGUGGGGAGAGCGUAAUUUGAGAGUUUUCAGCAAAAGAGCCGUGGUGUGGCUGAUCUUGCUGGGGUUAUUUUUGAUGGUGUCAGGGCAAAGUUGAGCUCUUGGUCUUCAGUAAAGUUCACUGCAUGCAAUAGGCGGGUUUGCGAUGAUUGGCUUUUGGAUUCUCGUAUUUUUGGUGUAAACAAUUGUUAGAUAGGUUACCUUUCUUUGUCUUUUGACAUUGAGCUGAGCUUUGUUCUGUUUUUCCUGGGGUAUGCCCCUGUGGAUUGUAGCUUCUUUGCGUGUUUGGUAUAAAUGAAUUUACUUACCAAAAAAAGAAA